AAAGCUAUUGGAAAAAUACUUUGGAUGAUAUCUAGAAAAACAAAAUAUCACUUACAGUUUUGUUAACUUAAAAUUUUAUUUGAAUUUCAAUUUAUCUUCACCACUCACAGAUCAAAAGGAGUUUCAAUUCAAUGUUAACUUGAAUGCAAACUAAUUGUUUUCUCAAUUGACUUAACUAUAGGUUUUGUUAUAUGAAAUCUAAUUUUUUGAGGAAGUUCCUACCUGGAUAAAGAGAUAAAAAUAUUCAUUUGUAUGUGGAAUGAAGUAUAGGACUCCCUUUCCAUGGUCAGUGGGCAUAAAAAGAGAAGUAAAAUAUUGUCCCUGCUUAUGGAGCUCAGUCUAGUGGGUGAGUCCACACAUUAAGAAACACUGAGAAUAGAAUUGCAGGGACAGAACUAACACGAGACCACAAAGGAAGCGCAGCUGCCAGAGUAUGAAAAGAGAAGCCCUGGAGAAGGUGCCAACUGAGCCUAGCAAGAGUAGGAGUUGGCCAGAUCCAGAAUUCACUCUGCUAUUUCUCAAGAGUCUGACCUGCAUCAACAGCCUCCCUUAUUCUGUGAUCCCAGUUUUGGAGAUCAAGGACAAGUUCAUUCUGGGUUGGCCGUGUCCAACUACUUUAAGCCAGCUACAUCCCCACCGGAAGCCAGGCUCUUGCCAACAGCUGUCUCCACAUUCCUCUUUCUAUGUCUGUUAUUUGUCUCUAGGUUCUGGUAACUACUUCCUCCUUUUGCCCCUUCUGGCCUAGGAUACCACCAAUCCCUCCUCCCAAUCAUGCUUUCACUAGCCUCAAAGUACUUGUAGCUUCCUCCCUUUACCUUCACCUUAAUAAAUUAUCCCCCUACUAUCUCUCUUCAAAGCACCUAAUUUGAGUGUGCCAUCUGUUUCUUGCCAGGAUCCUGGUUGAUACAUCAACCAAGCUGCAUAGCUGGAGGAGUACUGUGCUGAACUUUAGGACUGAAGCCACAGGGCCCUCACUGCCCACAUAGUCACCUUGGUCAUCUCCUGCUUCCCUGAAAGACUGAGUUCAGUUGGUUCAGGUACAUGCAUAUCCAGACAUGCCAGGGAAAACUCCAUUUUGUAAGGAUCUCGACUUACAAUGCCAAAGGUUUGAAAGUUUGCAAACACUGGAGGAAAGCACAGUUCUUCAUCUUACUCUUACUGUAAACUUGGAGAUACAUGCAUUUUUUUUUUAAACUGUGCAUGUUAGAAUGCUGAAGUGUAGCAGAUCAUUUCUGGUGAGACACCACAAACAAUAUUUGAUGAGGCCAAAAAAUAAGAAAGAAGGAAAUGAAAGAUCUCAGGAAUCUCAGGAAGAGCUCAUUGAACACUGCCUUUAUGUUAGGCCAUUUUAUGCACAGCUCUGUUAAUCAGGAUUGGAUAUACCUCCAUGAGGGCGUCUUAAACUGAGGGAAACAGAUGCCGUAACUAAGAGAAAGAAUGCAAUAGAAGUUUAUCUUAAUGCCUAUUCUGCAAUGCACAACUUUCCUAAGCCAAAAUUUUAACCUUAUGA
This 1510-nucleotide long non-coding RNA is filed under the name Callithrix jacchus (white-tufted-ear marmoset). RNAcentral describes it as "lncRNA (ENSCJAG00000050014.3)". The record is from RNAcentral. Lineage: Eukaryota; Metazoa; Chordata; Mammalia; Primates; Cebidae.